UUUUAGCCCCGAUUGCAGCGGCAUCCUUUUUUGCUUAUCCGAAUUUACUUUUUUUAAAUAGGUUUUCAAAGCAAAAAAGAUAGAGCGGAAAGCGGGACGAGUC
RNAcentral lists this small RNA (103 nucleotides) under Kaistella chaponensis. RNAcentral describes it as "Chryseobacterium chaponense Flavo-1 RNA". It matches the Rfam family "Flavo-1 RNA". The record is from RNAcentral. Lineage: Bacteria; Pseudomonadati; Bacteroidota; Flavobacteriia; Flavobacteriales; Weeksellaceae.